Molecule: ribosomal RNA, 253 nt
Filed under: uncultured microorganism
Description: partial 16S ribosomal RNA
Rfam family: Bacterial small subunit ribosomal RNA
Source: RNAcentral
UACGUAGGGGGCAAGCGUUACCCGGAUUCACUGGGCGUAAAGGGGGCGUAGGCGGCCGUGUAAGUCCGGUGUGAAAACUCACGGCUCAACCGUGGGACUGCGCUGGAAACUACACGGCUUGAGGACGGUAGAGGGAGACGGAACUGCUGGUGUAGGGGUGAAAUCCGUAGAUAUCAGCAGGAACGCCGGUGGAGAAGUCGGUCUCCUGGGCCGUUCCUGACGCUGAGGCCCGAAAGCUAGGGGAGCAAACCGG